Molecule: non-coding RNA, 107 nt
Organism: Paenibacillus alvei DSM 29
Lineage: Bacteria; Bacillati; Bacillota; Bacilli; Caryophanales; Paenibacillaceae
Source: Rfam
AUCGAACACUAGGGGUGCUGUAACAAGCUGAGAGACAGCGGCAACGCUGUUAACCCUUAUAACCCGAACUAGAUAAUACUAGCGUGGGGAAGUGUAGUCGACUGAUU